RNAcentral lists this ribosomal RNA (487 nucleotides) under uncultured Glomus. RNAcentral's name for it is "SSU rRNA". It matches the Rfam family "Eukaryotic small subunit ribosomal RNA", at positions 569 to 1059 of the family's 1831-position model. The record is from RNAcentral. Lineage: Eukaryota; Fungi; Glomeromycota; Glomeromycetes; Glomerales; Glomeraceae.
AGCAGCCGCGGUAAUUCCAGCUCCAAUAGCGUAUAUUAAAGUUGUUGCAGUUAAAAAGCUCGUAGUUGAAUUUCGGGACCAAUACGUCGGUCGUGCUUUCGGGUACGCACUGUCGUUAUUGGUUUCUACCUUCUGACGAACCAUGAUGUCAUUAAUUUGGUGUUUUGGGGAGUUAGGACUGUUACUUUGAAAAAAUUAGAGUGUUUAAAGCAGGCAUUAGCUUGAAUACAUUAGCAUGGAAUAAUGAAAUAGGACGUUCGAUCCUAUUUUGUUGGUUUCUAGGAUCAACGUAAUGAUUAAUAGGGAUAGUUGGGGGCAUUAGUAUUCAAUUGUCAGAGGUGAAAUUCUUGGAUUUAUUGAAGACUAACUACUGCGAAAGCAUUUGCCAAGGAUGUUUUCAUUAAUCAAGAACGAAAGUUAGGGGAUCGAAGACGAUCAGAUACCGUCGUAGUCUUAACCAUAAACUAUGCCGACUAAGGGAUCGGAU